Molecule: ribosomal RNA, 441 nt
Filed under: uncultured bacterium
Lineage: Bacteria
Description: partial 16S ribosomal RNA
Rfam family: Bacterial small subunit ribosomal RNA
Source: RNAcentral
UGGGGAAUUUUGGACAAUGGGCGAAAGCCUGAUCCAGCAAUGCCGCGUGUGUGAAGAAGGCCUUCGGGUUGUAAAGCACUUUUGUCCGGAAAGAAAUCCUUGGCUCUAAUACAGUCGGGGGAUGACGGUACCGGAAGAAUAAGCACCGGCUAACUACGUGCCAGCAGCCGCGGUAAUACGUAGGGUGCAAGCGUUAAUCGGAAUUACUGGGCGUAAAGCGUGCGCAGGCGGUUUGCUAAGACCGAUGUGAAAUCCCCGGGCUCAACCUGGGAACUGCAUUGGUGACUGGCAGGCUAGAGUAUGGCGGAGGGGGGUAGAAUUCCACGUGUAGCAGUGAAAUGCGUAGAGAUGUGGAGGAAUACCGGUGGCGAAGGCAGCCCCCUGGGCCAAUACUGACGCUCAUGCACGAAAGCGUGGGGAGCAAACAGGAUUAGAUACCCU